Molecule: ribosomal RNA, 253 nt
Filed under: uncultured bacterium
Lineage: Bacteria
Description: partial 16S ribosomal RNA
Rfam family: Bacterial small subunit ribosomal RNA
Source: RNAcentral
UACGGAGGGAGCUAGCGUUGUUAGGAAUUACUGGGCGUAAAGCGCACGUAGGCGGCUUUGUAAGUUAGAGGUGAAAGCCCGGGGCUCAACCCCGGAAUUGCCUUUAAGACUGCAUCGCUUGAAUCCGGGAGAGGUGAGUGGAAUUCCGAGUGUAGAGGUGAAAUUCGUAGAUAUUCGGAAGAACACCAGUGGCGAAGGCGGCUUGCCAGAAUGCGCUCGACGGUGAGGGAUGAAAGCUGGGGGAGCAAACCGG